Carassius gibelio (silver crucian carp) is the source of this 1190-nucleotide long non-coding RNA. RefSeq lists it as uncharacterized. The transcript has 4 exons. The record is from RefSeq and is a predicted model, not a curated record. Lineage: Eukaryota; Metazoa; Chordata; Actinopteri; Cypriniformes; Cyprinidae.
AUUGCAUAAAUAUUAAUUAGUGUCGUGAAAUUCUCUCAAAAAAAUAAAUAUAUAUUACAUUUUACUAACGUAAAGCGGUUUUUGUUUCUUGGUGACAUUGUGGUGCAUUUCCCGGUUUCACAAGAUGAGGUCACCCAUUUCCUCUUUUAAAACUUCAUCAAAGACAUGAACACUGAGCUGAUGCUGCACUCAGAUGAGUUUGACUAUUUUCAGGUUGGAGAGAAUUCAGCCGUGACCUUCUGCCUCAAAGAACUGAGAGGAUGACUGCCAUGUCAACAUCCCCAAGACCUCCACUGCAGAAAGCUCCAUGUGUGAAGGGCCAAUGGUUUGUGUCGCUGAUGGGGAACAGGUGGCUUCCAAUCAUAGCAGUGAGGUUUUUAAUCCAGCCCUUCAUAUGAGGAAGAUGAUUCAGCUUCAUGCACCUGGAGAGAACCUGCCUGAAACAUCAAACUUUACUACACCGGUAACUCCAGACACUUUUAAGUAAUUCUGGAGAGAUAAAAGGAAAACUCGAGGACAAUAGUAAAGUGGCGCACAAUCACGUUUUGUUGCAGAGCUGAGGAAUUUCAACCUAAACACACAGUUCAGAUGAGUUCGGUCACGGUGGAGAAGAUAAAUCAAAACUUCAAAACAGAUAUUCUUGAGGAUUGAAGGACUCGGUUUUCUGUGUGUCCACCGAGGAAGCUUUGAAUCACUGCCUGAGAAACGACUGCUACCUUGCUGCAUUAUCCAGAGAAAGCCUUGUGUGUUGCAUGACUGUUGGAUUGAAAACAUAUGUAGUUAGAAGCUUGACGAUUCAGAUUGUGUCAGAGUUGAGCUGGACAGCUGUGCAAAACAGAAUAACUUAAUUUCACUCCCUUUUUAAAGGCCUUUUUAUCAUUUGAGCUCUUAAUGUCUUCAAAAAAUCUUCAGUCAGUUGCUAUUGUAUUAGUUGAUGCUCACGAUAUCGAGGUCACAUGAUAUACUGGUUUUGUUGACUGCUCACUGCUGACAGACAAAUUUAGUCUCCAGCCACUUACACUUGAUGGUAAUGUGCUCAGUAUUUCAGACUCUCGUGGCAUUUGUAACAACUUACACCUUAGUUGAGUAUAAAAAUGUAGGAAAACCACAAACUGUUGCAGUUACACUAUACAAUGUAUACAGACAUGAUGUAUAUAAAAAUCCAAAGAAAUGGAUGCCUUAAAUCUCAA